Molecule: long non-coding RNA, 243 nt
Organism: Lemur catta (Ring-tailed lemur)
Lineage: Eukaryota; Metazoa; Chordata; Mammalia; Primates; Lemuridae
Exons: 3
Source: RefSeq, a predicted model, not a curated record
CUGGGGCUGGAGCUCUGCUCCCCACAGCAGCCAGCUAGAGAUUCCUCGUAGCCAGGGACCUCCUUGUGGAAACUUCUUUCUGCACCACCGCCAGUUGCAUUGCCUGUGGAGAGCAGCGUGCCUGUGCACUCAGUUCCAGGGAUGAAGGCUUUUUAGAAAGCGAGAGUCAGACAACAGGCUGUGUCAGCGACACUCAAAUGCCUGCCACCGCCACACACAGUAUGUGAGGUCAGCACUUGACCG